Molecule: transfer RNA, 66 nt
Filed under: Elseya novaeguineae (New Guinea snapping turtle)
Lineage: Eukaryota; Metazoa; Chordata; Testudines; Chelidae
Description: tRNA-His
Source: RNAcentral
UAUAGUUUUAAUACAAACAUUAGACCGUGGAUCUAAAAAUAGAAGUUAAAACCUCCUUAUAAACCG